Molecule: long non-coding RNA, 1446 nt
Filed under: Carassius auratus (goldfish)
Lineage: Eukaryota; Metazoa; Chordata; Actinopteri; Cypriniformes; Cyprinidae
Description: lncRNA (ENSCARG00000033066.1)
Source: RNAcentral
CGUGUUUGUGUAGGAUGUUUUUCAAUGUAGAGAAAAAGACAGAAAUCCGCUACUUUCGAGAGAUGCAGCUCCUGGGUCGGAAAUACUGCAAAUAGUCACUUAAAAAGAAAAAGGAACGCGGCUUAUGCGAAUAUUUCUUACAGAUUAUUCUGUCCUUCAUUAAAAAGAGGGGGAAAAAGGCAGGGGCAACAACGCGGGGGGAAGAGAUGAUGUGGAUGUUGCCCCAGCCGUGAGGCGCUUCACUACAGUUUCGCCUCCGUCGCUUUACGAACUCCAGCUUGCCGUCACUGCGCUCUGUGGCGCUCAUGAACCGAAAGUUCUCGCGAGAACGAGAGGGAUGCGCUGUUAUGAUCUCGGCCAUCGAACGGGAUUUUCCGCUGCUUUACAAAACAAAUACCUGGCGCCUGUAAAUUCCAGUGUGGCUUAACUGACGUGAUCCAAGCUCUAUUAUAGCACUAUUAAUGUUGGGAUAACUACUGAUCACAUAAACACACAGAGACAUAGGAAUGUGCUUUAGGCAGCAGAAAGUACAGUCAGCUGCUGUUGACUAACGGUGUGGAAUUCAAGAGGGAACAGAGACACAGGCUCGCAACUGAACACAAACAGGACAGAGACAGACUGCAGGUGAAACCACUGAAAGAGGAAGAAAAAGUCUUCCAGAGAAUGCUUUAGGCGUCAACGUGCCUUUACUUUCUUGGCUGUUAAUCUUCACAGUCCAACAGUCUACUCAAUAUCAUAUUAAGAUUUCAGAUUUGGAGUAUUUUUUGGAGAUCCUCUGCAGUGAAUGGGUGCCAUCAGAAUGAGAGUUCAAACAUCUGAUAAAAAUAUCACAAUAAUCCAUAAAUAAUCCACUUGGCUCCAGUCCAUCAAUUAACGUCAUGUGAAGUGAAAAGCUGCUUGUUUGUAAUAAAAAAAAUCCAUCAUCAAGAUGUUUUUAUUAUAAAGUCCUUUUUCAUCUAACAUAAAACAGUAAAAAAAAAAAAAAAAAAAAGUAGUCUUGUCUGAACCAGGAGAGAAAUAUGCACAGAUCCAUUGAAACAGUAUAAAACAGUUCUAGACAAAUAUGUCGGUGGAUUUUAAUUUUAUCGGUUUGGCUCUCAUUCACUGCAGAGGAUCCAAUGGUGAGCAAGUGAUGUAAUGCUUAAUGUAUCCACAUCUGUUCUGAUGAAGAAACAUUUACAUCUUAGAAGGCCUGAGUAAAAAUUCAGCAAAUUUUCAUUUUGGGUGAACUGUUGAUCAAGACCUUAAACUUAUUUUUAUUUUAGAUAGUGUCCAAGGCUACAUUUUUUUAUUAUAAAAAUAAAUAAAUGAGAAAACACAACAAAAUGACUAAAACUUAAAUGAAAUAUAUGUAUUUAUAUAAACUUAAAACAAACUCAAAUUAAUUAAACAAAAAAUGUCUAUACCUGUAAUAAAGAUAUAUACUUAUAUUUUAGUUACUUGAAC